AUUGAACGCUGGCGGCAGGCCUAACACAUGCAAGUCGAGCGAGCGGCGGACGGGUGAGUAAUGUAUGGGGACUGCCCGAUAGAGGGGGAUAACUACUGGAAACGGUGGCUAAUACCGCAUACUAUCGGAUAACCCAUAGGGGUUUAGCUAGUAGGUGGGGUAAAGGCGCACCAAGGCCACGAUGCAUAGCCGACCUGAGAGGAUGAGCAGCCACACGGGGACAGAGACACGGCCCAGACUCCUACGGAGGCAGCAGUGGGGAAUAUUGGACGAUGGGAGCAAGCCUGAUGCAGCCAUGCCGCGUGGAUGAAGAAGGCCUUAGGGUUGUAAAGUACUUUCAGCGGGGAGGCGUUACCCGCAGAAGAAGCACCGGCUAACUCCGUGCCAGCCGCCGCGGUAAUUC
RNAcentral lists this ribosomal RNA (403 nucleotides) under uncultured bacterium. Its description in RNAcentral is "partial 16S ribosomal RNA". It matches the Rfam family "Bacterial small subunit ribosomal RNA", at positions 29 to 526 of the family's 1533-position model. The record is from RNAcentral.